This 486-nucleotide ribosomal RNA is filed under the name uncultured bacterium. RNAcentral's name for it is "partial 16S ribosomal RNA". It matches the Rfam family "Bacterial small subunit ribosomal RNA", at positions 28 to 507 of the family's 1533-position model. The record is from RNAcentral.
AUUGAACGCUGGCGGCAUGCCUUACACAUGCAAGUCGAACGGCAGCACGGGUGCUUGCUCCUGGUGGCGAGUGGCGAACGGGUGAGUAAUACGUCAGCACUUGUCCUGUAGUGGGGGGUAGCCCGGCGAAAGCCGGAUUAAUACCGCAUACGAUCUACGGAAGACAGCGUGGGCCCUUCGGACCUCGCGCUGUCGGGUUUGCCGAUGCCUGAUUAGCUAGUGUGUGGGGGAAAGGGCUACUCAGGGGACGAUCCGUAGCUGCAGUGUGAGGACGAGCGGCCACACGGGGACUGGGACACGGCCCAGACGCCUACGGGAGGGAGCAGUGGGGAAUGGUGGACAGAGGGCGGAAACCUGACACAGCAAUGCCGCGUGUGUGAAGAAGGCCUUCGGGUAGUAAAGCACUUCUGUCGGGAAAGAAACCCUUGGCGCUAAGACGGUCGGGGGAUGACGGUACCGGAAGAAUAAGCACCGGCUAACUACGUG